Sorghum bicolor (sorghum) is the source of this 1709-nucleotide long non-coding RNA. RefSeq lists it as uncharacterized. Lineage: Eukaryota; Viridiplantae; Streptophyta; Magnoliopsida; Poales; Poaceae. The transcript has 3 exons. The record is from RefSeq and is a predicted model, not a curated record.
CUGAUGCAAGCGUCCUGUCUAACCCUAUGCAGGGAGUCACAGGCUCACAGCAUCACGAAGGUCCUAAGGACUCGGCGACUCGCGAGGUUGCGCCGCCGGCUGUCUCCUCCGGAACUCCACUGCUCCAUCUCCGCCCCUCGCCGCCGUCUGUCCCCUCUUGACCUCGGCUGCUCCAUAUCUACCACUCGCAGUUGCAGACCAGGAUGGCUAUUGCUACUUGAAGUGAGAGGGUUUGUGCAAGCACGGGACCUGCUGCUGCCUCUACACCGGUUGGCACAGGUCAAUCAUCGGUCCCUCAAUCAACAACAUCAAGUCUCUAAUCGUUGCGAUAGCAAAAGGCAGGACCUUCACCAGGGAACCUUUUAGCAUGACAGAAUUCAUAAUUGGGCACAUUUUUUAACACAAGAUGAUUUCCAGGAAUGCCUCGAUAUACAAAGACAUAAGGAUCAGGUUCUUUUGCCACUGAAUUGGGUCUCAUAUGGUACUCAUAGCGAAUAUCUGCAUUAGAUCAGGUAGAAUAAUUGACCUCCACUAUUGUUAGGACAACAAUAAAAUUAAAUGAAUGUAUGUACUCACCUCUGUCGUUGAAAACCCAUGCCUCCUCAUCGUCAUAUAUGUCAGGGCCACCCUGAUCAGGAUUGAGGCAAUCUAAAUCAUUUUCUGGUCAUUAGAUAAAAUUAAUAACCAGUGUAUAUGUACCCUGCCUGUCAUUGUUAAAUAUAAUUUGAUAAAUUUAUAGACUUACCCUCAAUCCCAUGUAUUGGAUCCUCGGGGUCAAAAAUAGCCGAGUUAUAUGGCUCUUCAUCCCUUUUCAUGUUUGGAACACCACCUACAUAAAAUAUUUACAAAUAUCAUGAUGACAAAAGCUUUAGUUGUAUGGAGAACAAGUAUUUUGUGGUUCAAACCUUGUCUGAUUUUAAUAUUUGUAUUGAGAAAAUAUUUCCUAUCACCAUUGUUCUUUAUGGAAGCUAAAGGUUGUGGUUGCUGCUGAACUUGCAUUUGACGUUCGAAUUUUUUAGCAAGUGUCCCAUCGUGCUUAUGGUCUACAUUUUGCUCCCUCAUAACAAUAUUGUUACCAGCUGCUUGGGUUCUUUUUCUCUAUCGAUAUUAUCGUUGGUACUCACAAUUCCUUGUGCAUAGUUCCUCUUUCUUCAAAUCAAUUGUCCCUAAAGUUCCAAUGCCAACAUUCUGGUUAAGAUUCUGCUCCCUCAUAUUUUCACCGGCUGCUUUGUUUCUUUUCUUCUCUUGAUAUCGUUGUUGUUACUCACGAUUCAUUGCGCGUAGUUCCUCUUUGUUCUGAUCAAUGGCCAUCAAUACUACAUAUGCAGAACCUAAUUGAACCUAAUAAAAAAAUGAAUUUGAAUUUAAGAAAUGCUUAUUUUGACUGACCUUUAAUGAAUUCAUGGAUGAGGAUGGAUAUCAAAUGGUGGUCCACAAAGAUUGUCAGUAGAGGACUCCACAAAGAUCGGUAGAAGAGGACCAACCGAAUCUAUAAUAUUGUACAGGAUAGAAGAGGACCAACACAAUCUGUAAUAUAGGAAGCAGAUGUAGUUCGGUUGAAGAGGACACCAACUCAAUCUGUAAUAUUGCAUAGAAAGCAGAUAUACGUGCACGUGAGACUGAACCUGUGGGAUUGCUUGAAUUAUGAGUGAGGAUUGUACGUGUGCAUAUAUGGGAUUGCUUGAAAUAUAUGUGCGAGGAUUGUAUAA